RNAcentral lists this ribosomal RNA (601 nucleotides) under uncultured bacterium. RNAcentral describes it as "bacterial SSU rRNA". It matches the Rfam family "Bacterial small subunit ribosomal RNA", at positions 28 to 601 of the family's 1533-position model. The record is from RNAcentral.
AAUGAACGCUGGCGGCGUGCUUAACACAUGCAAGUCGUACGAGAACUCUUCUGCUUGCAGAAGAUAGUAAAGUGGCGCACGGGUGAGUAACGCGUGGGUAAUCUACCUCUGAAUCGGGGAUAACCCGCCGAAAGGCGAGCUAAUACCGGAUAAUAUCUUUAAAACUUCGGUUUUUAAGAUCAAAGGUGGUCUCUACAUGUAAGCUACUGUUUGGAGAUGAGCCCGCGUACCAUUAGCUUGUUGGUAGGGUAAUGGCCUACCAAGGCCGCGAUGGUUAGCUGGUCUGAGAGGAUGAUCAGCCACACUGGAACUGACACACGGUCCAGACUCCUACGGGAGGCAGCAGUGAGGAAUUUUGCGCAAUGGGGGAAACCCUGACGCAGCAACGCCGCGUGAGUGAUGAAGGCUUUCGGGUCGUAAAGCUCUGUCAAGUGGGAAGAAAAUGCUCGAUGAUAAUACCAUCUGGCACUGACGGUACCACUAAAGGAAGCACCGGCUAACUCCGUGCCAGCAGCCGCGGUAAUACGGGGGGUGCAAGCGUUAUUCGGAAUUAUUGGGCGUAAAGGGCGCGUAGGCGGUCUCUGAAGUCAGAUGUGAAAGC